AAUAUUGACAAAAAAGGAUGUUUAUGAUAUAAUUUAUAUUUAUAGGGGUAAUAUUACUAUUGACAAUUUUAAAGGGGUGUGUGUGAUAUUUUUAACAGUUAAUUGCAUACAACUCACUGAAAAUAUAAUGAAUUGCAAAUAUAUCCUUACAAAGUUUAAUUUUUACUCUUAUUCCUGCAAAAGUCUAAUGGUAUUUAUAUUUAUCCUUCUGAUUUGUUAUCAUUAGAGAAUUAUUUAUUUUUUAACAGUAGAUAAAUAAAAUAUCAAUUUUGCUAUCAUAAAUAUGACCCUCCAAAAGCCCCAACUGUUAUAAUCAUACAAAAAUGUCCUCCUAAAAAACUUUCAAUAAUCAUCAUCCGCCAUUGUUGCAACCCCUCCUCUUAUUCCUUUUUCUCUCAAAUCUUUUUUUUUAAGCAAAAUAAGAAAAAACCAUAGAGAAAAUUAAACAGGGAAGCAACACACGUUCAAGAUGGGUGAAGCAACAUGCAUCGUGGAUGAAUGGGGACGAAAAAAUUCUAAUUACGGGUUCGAAACUAGCAUGAAGGAGAAAUUGCUAGGGUUUUGAUUGAGAAAAGCAAAAUAUAAGAGAGAUAAAAAUAUCAAUUUACCUCAUUGACUAACCAAAGUUAAGUAUUUUAUCUAUGGUUAACUAAAUUUUUCUAACGGAUGCUAACGGUAGGAGCAUAUUUGAAAACAUUAGGCUUUUGCAGAAAUAAUAUAAGAAAGUUGAACUUUAUAGAGAUAUAUUUGUAAUUUGCUAUGUUUAUAAAGAGUGGUAUGCAAUUAACUCUAUUUUUAAAAUUUUGAGAGAUACAUUUGAAGUUGCUCGUGUAUUUUAGAGCGAUGUUGAAUUUAUAAUCCAUUUUGGGUUGUAAUUUUAUAACUAACCCAUUCGAAGUCUAUAUUUCUCCUAAUUGUCACAUUAUUUUUUUUAAUAUUAAAACCUAAUUUGGGUUUUUUAACCCUCAGGAUGGGAAGCAAUGCUAUAGAUACACCCUAAAGUGGAGUGUAUAUUUCACACCCACUUCAUCCUAGGCCAUUUUUGUCACAUCAAUUUUUUAAAAUUUUACUAAAAAUCAAUUCGAAUUUUAUCAACCCUAAGAUUGCGGGUAUAAGAUCAACACCUCCUUUUGGGGUAUAUAAGAAGCAUUUUUCAUCAUUUAAUUUCAAAAACUCGAGUUGUUCAAAAAAUACAAUCAAUUUAUUUUAAAUGUAUUGAUAUAGUACCCACAGGUCUCUAUUAUGAUUCGGUCCAAUCCAACCUCCCAUCACUUCUAACAUAAUUCAGUCCAACCUGAUCUCCUGCCAUUUUGGGUCUCCCAACACAAGACAUG
RNAcentral lists this long non-coding RNA (1334 nucleotides) under Ananas comosus (pineapple). RNAcentral describes it as "long non-coding RNA (ACOM_LNC000836)". The record is from RNAcentral. Lineage: Eukaryota; Viridiplantae; Streptophyta; Magnoliopsida; Poales; Bromeliaceae.